AGAGUUUGAUCCUGGCUCAGGAUGAACGCUGGCGGCGUGCCUAACACAUGCAAGUCGAGCGAACCACUUCGGUGGUGAGCGGCGAACGGGUGAGUAACACGUAGGUGAUCUGCCCAUCAGACGGGGACAACGAUUGGAAACGAUCGCUAAUACCGGAUAGGACGAAAGUUUAAAGGUGCUUCUGGCACCGCUGAUGGAUGAGCCUGCGGCGCAUUAGCUAGUUGGUAGGGUAAAGGCCUACCAAGGCGACGAUGCGUAGCCGACCUGAGAGGGUGAACGGCCACACUGGGACUGAGACACGGCCCAGACUCCUACGGGAGGCAGCAGUAGGGAAUCUUCGGCAAUGGGCGAAAGCCUGACCGAGCAACGCCGCGUGAAUGAUGAAGGCCUUCGGGUUGUAAAAUUCUGUUAUAAGGGAAGAACGACUUUAGUAGGAAAUGGCUAGAGUGUGACGGUACCUUAUGAGAAAGCCACGGCUAACUACGUGCCAGCAGCCGCGGUAAUACGUAGGUGGCGAGCGUUAUCCGGAAUUAUUGGGCGUAAAGAGCGCGCAGGUGGUUGAUUAAGUCUGAUGUGAAAGCCCACGGCUUAACCGUGGAGGGUCAUUGGAAACUGGUCGACUUGAGUGCAGAAGAGGGAAGUGGAAUUCCAUGUGUAGCGGUGAAAUGCGUAGAGAUAUGGAGGAACACCAGUGGCGAAGGCGGCUUCCUGGUCUGUAACUGACACUGAGGCGCGAAAGCGUGGGGAGCAAACAGGAUUAGAUACCCUGGUAGUCCACGCCGUAAACGAUGAGUGCUAAGUGUUGGGGGUCGAACCUCAGUGCUGAAGUUAACGCAUUAAGCACUCCGCCUGGGGAGUACGGUCGCAAGACU
Molecule: ribosomal RNA, 872 nt
Filed under: human gut metagenome
Description: bacterial SSU rRNA
Rfam family: Bacterial small subunit ribosomal RNA
Source: RNAcentral